UCACAUGACAGCAUUACUCAGAGCUCUCUCACACUGCAAGCAAACAGACGUGGGCUGACUGCAUUCUGUUUUGCUGAGAAUCAAGCAGACUUUGCCAUGCAACUGUGCAUUAAAGCUACGAACAGGAAGCUAAAUUCUCCAGGAGCAGCACUCAGAACCCAAACAUAGAAAGGACUGCAUCCUCCUUCUCCUCCACUAACAGAGCCAAGGGAAGAGAACUACUAGAGUAGCUCUCUUCACUCUUGUGGCACUGACACCCUGAUCCUCAGUGGAGGCACUGAUGGGAGCUCCAGCCCUGUGUCUUUCUGAAGAGCAGGAAUGUAGCCUGAGAUGUGCGGUGACCCAGGCACCACCAGACUCAGCCUUGGUGAAGUUUUUCAAGCUCUGGUCAUGCAGUGAGUCAACAGUGAAGCCAGAAACAAAAUCCAAGAACUCAUGUGAGAAGUGCUCCCGGCAUUUCCCCCCAGCCAUCUCCAGUGCAGGCACAACGCUAGGAGCCAGGCAGCAGGUCAGGAGCACUGCCACAAGCGUGGCUGAGAGCAGAUUUACAUGGGUGCUGAAUGGAACGGCAGGGCAGCACGGAUCCCACUUCCAGCAGCACUUCCACUUGCAUGGCCAGUCUCCACCAGCAGGGACGCAGCACACAGCACCGUGAGCACAGGGCAAAACGUCUGGGUGCCGAGUCAGCCUCCUGCUCCAUACCACCAGGUCAUGCUAAUUAUACAUUAGACUCAUCACGUGGUGGCUAUAUUUACUCCAAGAAUUACAGCUGAGUUUCCUCCCUCUCACAUCUAUGCGUGUGUACACACAGACAUAAACACAGUAUGUAGUUUUAGCUA
Long non-coding RNA from Lagopus leucura (white-tailed ptarmigan), 839 nucleotides. RefSeq lists it as uncharacterized. The transcript has 2 exons. The record is from RefSeq and is a predicted model, not a curated record. Lineage: Eukaryota; Metazoa; Chordata; Aves; Galliformes; Phasianidae.